CACGCUUGAAGCCCAGAAAGGGAUGGACAUCUGCCAGCAUUUUCUGUCUGUUGCUCUACCUUUUCCAGCAUAAUGAAUCUGUGGCCUCCAGAGAACAUUCUACAAGGACUGUGACGCAGGACACCUGCAGGGAGACCUGGCUCUCAUGAGCAGCUUCCACUUUGUGUGCAGCCUCCUUUGCAAGCCAGACCCCAUGCAACCUGUUGAGAAACCACAUUGCCAUAACUAACCCAUCAAGUCAAUUCUACCACCCCAUGGUGGAAACGCUCAGUGUGUCUACUCCAAACCUUCUUUGUUGAAAUACUUGUGCCAUUUAUUUGGAGGCAUCCUAUAGCCAACCAGAGUGUUGGGGACUCCAUAGCCAUGUGGAAAAGCAUGCGCUCCUGUGCUUACUUCCGGGAUGACGGAAGCCAACCACCGAGAGUGAGGUUUAGCUUGUCAGUAGAGGGCGCAGGAGCGACAUCGCAGAAGGAAGGCGCUACCCCACUACCCUCACCGGGGUUACUGGGCUUCCAUUCUGUUUUUCUUCUUGCUCCUCACCACUGCCAGAAGCCUCUGCCCCUGCCGCACACCCAGAGCAUGCACCUUCUCUGCAAGUUCUCAGAGAUCCGCAGCCGGCGACCCCCAACAGGGGCACCACUCACCCCAGGUCUCCACCUGUCCUGCCAACAAGCUGACUCUGUGCCCCAGCUGCCUCUGAACACCUGUCCUGCAGACAUAUGUUCUCUGCUUGCCGCAACCAUGGACCUGUUCUGGGUCAGGCAGCCCGAAGAACUCCACCAUUCAAUGGAGCUGAAAAAUCUCUUUUCCUUCACUGUCUGAAUCCGCCAUGGGGAAGAGGACCUCCUUCAAAGUGGUUCCUCCCCUGAUUUUCGUCCUCAGCCCUAGGAUAUUCUUUCAAGCAUUGUUUCGCCUUCCUAGUUAUGCCUACAUUAUAGUUAACUGUUCUUUGUAAUAGAUUUUCCCUUCCAAAUUACUGUGUGGUUUCUGUCUCCUGAUUGGACUUUGACUAAUAAACAUGUUUAUGUAGAGAGAGAAAAAAAGAAUGAAACAAAAACCAAAACAUGAACAGUGGUUAACUCUGGGUAGUAUAAUUAGAGGUUGCUUUUAUUCUGGUCUUUGUGAUUUGCAAUAUUUUCCAAAAUAUUUUGUAAGGAGCUUUUAUUUCAUGUAUUUAUUUUAGUUUCUAGUUUUAAGAUUGUUGUGCUACGUAUUUACCUGUGUAACAGACCUGCAUGUUCUGCACGUGUGUCCUGGAACGUAAAGUCAAAUAAAAUAGGAUUAUCGCG
Long non-coding RNA from Callithrix jacchus (white-tufted-ear marmoset), 1289 nucleotides. Lineage: Eukaryota; Metazoa; Chordata; Mammalia; Primates; Cebidae. The record is from Ensembl.